UACGUAGGGUGCAAGCGUUGUCCGGAAUUAUUGGGCGUAAAGAGCUCGUAGGCGGUCUGUCGCGUCGGAUGUGAAAACUCGGGGCUCAACCCCGAGCCUGCAUUCGAUACGGGCAGACUAGAGUUCGGUAGGGGAGACUGGAAUUCCUGGUGUAGCGGUGAAAUGCGCAGAUAUCAGGAAGAACACCAAUGGCGAAGGCAGCUCUCUGGGACGGUACUGACGCUGAGACGCGAAAGCGUGGGGAGCGAACAGG
RNAcentral lists this ribosomal RNA (253 nucleotides) under uncultured bacterium. RNAcentral's name for it is "partial 16S ribosomal RNA". It matches the Rfam family "Bacterial small subunit ribosomal RNA", at positions 524 to 776 of the family's 1533-position model. The record is from RNAcentral.